AGAGUUUGAUCCUGGCUCAGAAUCAACGCUGGCGGCGUGCCUAACACAUGCAAGUCGAACGAGAAAGUGGAGCAAUCCACGAGUAAAGUGGCGACCGGGUGAGUAACACGUGACUAACCUACCUCCGAGUGGGGAAUAACUCCGGGAAACCGGGGCUAAUACCGCAUAACAUCGCAAGAUCAAAGCAGCAAUGCGCUUGGAGAGGGGGUCGCGGCUGAUUAGCUAGUUGGCGGGGUAACGGCCCACCAAGGCGAAGAUCGGUAUCCGGCCUGAGAGGGCGCACGGACACACUGGAACUGAAACACGGUCCAGACUCCUACGGGAGGCAGCAGUGGGGAAUUUUGCGCAAUGGGGGAAACCCUGACGCAGCAACGCCGCGUGGAGGAUGAAGCCCUUUGGGGCGUAAACUCCUUUCGACUCGGAAGAUUAUGACGGUACGAGUGGAAGAAGCACCGGCUAACUCUGUGCCAGCAGCCGCGGUAAUACAGAGGGUGCGAGCGUUGUUCGGAAUUAUUGGGCGUAAAGGGCGCGUAGGCGGUGCGGUAAGUCACCUGUGAAAUCUCCCGGCUUAACUGGGAGCCUGCAGGCGAAACUACCGUGCUGGAGUGUGGGAGAGGUGCGUGGAAUUCCCGGUGUAGCGGUGAAAUGCGUAGAUAUCGGGAGGAACACCUGUGGCGAAAGCGGCGCACUGGACCAUAACUGACGCUGAUGCGCGAAAGCUAGGGGAGCAAACAGGAUUAGAUACCCUGGUAGUCCUAGCCCUAAACGAUGAUUGCUUGGUGUAGCAGUACCCAAUCCUGCUGUGCCGCAGCUAACGCGAUAAGCAAUCCGCCUGGGGAGUACGGUCGCAAGGCUGAAACUCAAGGAAUUGACGGGGGCCCGCACAAGCGGUGGAGCAUGUGGUUCAAUUCGACGCAACGCGAAGAACCUUACCUGGGCUCGAAAUGCA
RNAcentral lists this ribosomal RNA (949 nucleotides) under uncultured bacterium. RNAcentral describes it as "bacterial SSU rRNA". It matches the Rfam family "Bacterial small subunit ribosomal RNA", at positions 8 to 990 of the family's 1533-position model. The record is from RNAcentral.